AGUGAACGCUGGCGGUAGGCCUAACACAUGCAAGUCGAACGGCAGCACAGUAAGAGCUUGCUCUUACGGGUGGCGAGUGGCGGACGGGUGAGGAAUACAUCGGAAUCUACUUUUUCGUGGGGGAUAACGUAGGGAAACUUACGCUAAUACCGCAUACGACCUACGGGUGAAAGCAGGGGAUCUUCGGACCUUGCGCGAUUGAAUGAGCCGAUGUCGGAUUAGCUAGUUGGCGGGGUAAAGGCCCACCAAGGCGACGAUCCGUAGCUGGUCUGAGAGGAUGAUCAGCCACACUGGAACUGAGACACGGUCCAGACUCCUACGGGAGGCAGCAGUGGGGAAUAUUGGACAAUGGGCGCAAGCCUGAUCCAGCCAUACCGCGUGGGUGAAGAAGGCCUUAGGGUUGUAAAGCCAUUUUGUUGGGAAAGAAAAGCAGCAGGUUAAUACCCCGCUGUUCUGACGGUACCCAAAGAAUAAGCACCGGCUAACUUCGUG
This 492-nucleotide ribosomal RNA is filed under the name uncultured bacterium. Its description in RNAcentral is "partial 16S ribosomal RNA". It matches the Rfam family "Bacterial small subunit ribosomal RNA", at positions 29 to 507 of the family's 1533-position model. The record is from RNAcentral.